UCUGCUAGAGAGUUCACAGCACUCUCAGGGAUGUCUUGUGGGUCUGACCUCAGGGAGCAAGUCUGUGUUGGGGAGAAUCUGGCUCACUGGCUUAUGUGCACAGCAUCUGGAUACUUGCUGCAUUUCUGUGCUUGACAGACACUAAUACUCAUGUUUCCUUCAUUUCUUAAAAAACUUACAGUUUUCUUCCCAAGAUGUAUAACCAAAAGUUAGAAAGAAAGAAAGAAAGAAAGAAAGAAAGAAAGAAAGAAAGAAAGAAAAGAAGAGAGAAAGGUCUUUUCUCUAUGUGCAUUUCAUCAACACAGCCUCAGCUUGAGAUCCCUUGGGAAAAGCCUUUCAAGACAGGCAGAAUGAUGUCCUUCCUGCCACAACAUAAUUUCCCAGCUGCCAGGGGAAAACUAGAUAUUGUACCCUAAACAACAACCAAGAGAGACUAGAUAAUCACUCCCUAAGGGCACUUGAUUCAGCCUCCCUCACAAAGGGCUGUAGAAACAAUCUUGAAGUUACUAUUAACUCUACAAUUUAAAAGACACAAAAUGGAUUCCUGUCCUUACUUAUUGGAAUGGCUGUACUGUGUUUUUCAGGAGCAGCACGAGACUGGUGUAGCCUUUCCUUAAGGAAGUAGGCACCACUGGAUAAUUCAAGUCAAAGAUAGGGAGUGCUCGACCUAUGGACCAUCUCCUCAUACAUUGAUGAAGCAACCCUUAUCUAAAGCCAACAAAAACAGGUAAUUAUUGCAUCUCCUGGUUGAGGUGAUAAACAACUCAAAUGUGGACCGGUAGAGCAUAUCUGUGGGCUUACAAUUCAAGUCAACCGUGAAAGGAGGAGGGAAACAGAGGAAACAGUUUCAUUUCCCAGUAACUCCCCUGACCUGAAUUAAGGUGGGAACUGAGGAGAAUCUCUGUAAAAAUAACAACAUGCAAACUACAGAAAGACGGGGCUGUGCCCAUUUAACAGUCUGGGUCCUAAACACUUUCUGGUUAUUGUGCAAUGAGUAAAAAAUCCUCAGGGAUAAAUCAUAGAUCUAGAAUUUUAGAUGAUCUCUGUGUAAGACAAAGAACAACAGCCAUUCUAUAUCAUGCCAAUUUAACAAAGCAAUGUAACAUCUAUUUGCCUGAACACCAAAGGCACUAGCAACUGGAUGGGAAGAAAAGAUCCAAAUGCUCUUUCUCAGACAAUCAUUAUUUCAUUGACUUGAUCAUUGUCAGCCAUCUUCAGCAUAACUACAGGACAAUUUUGAACAUAUUGAAGACUCUUAGAAUAUCACCACUCAGAUUUUC
This is a long non-coding RNA of Neofelis nebulosa (Clouded leopard), 1280 nucleotides long. RefSeq lists it as uncharacterized. NCBI's taxonomy places the organism in Eukaryota, Metazoa, Chordata, Mammalia, Carnivora, Felidae. The transcript is spliced from 3 exons. The record is from RefSeq and is a predicted model, not a curated record.